Molecule: non-coding RNA, 828 nt
Organism: Microcebus murinus (gray mouse lemur)
Lineage: Eukaryota; Metazoa; Chordata; Mammalia; Primates; Cheirogaleidae
Source: RefSeq, a predicted model, not a curated record
UUUUUUUUUUGGUGGAGGGCAAUCUCGCUCACUGUCUUUGUGAUAAUGCCUUGUAGAACUAUACUUGGCCAUGAGUGGAAUGCAAGUUUUGCUUAGGAAUGGUUUGCUGUUGAGGGUGGAAACUAUUAGCAUAUGCAACUUUUCAUAGGCAACAACUCAAGGCUGACUUCACCAUUCCUGGUGUAAGGGCAAUUCUUGCAGCAUUCUUACUCCUUUCUACCAUUUAGUUUCAGGAUAUAUAAUUGAUCCUCCCAUAAACACCACUAGAUAAAGUUAGGGAUUUCAGUCAACAUGACACUGAAAAUGAAUAAAAUUAUAUAAACCAAGACCCUAAGGACUCAGUAAAUGCUGUCCUGCUUUCCCUCUGCCUUCCUUACAUUUUAGUGCAAUGAGUUUUUCCCAUAGCAUGUAUAUCAAGGCCCCACUACACAGAGAGGGCAGAGAGUAAGAACUCAGUAUUUUUCUGUAGAAUGGAGUCUUGUUCCUGUUUUGUAGAUCAGCCGAGGCAGCUUGCCUUCCAAUUGUAAAUCCUCUGGGCUCCCUAUCGAUUGCAGAUUGGGUUCAAGUCUGCCCUACAAGUGUCUCAUUUGGGGACCAAGUUCUACCAGGGACAUUUUUUUCUGAUGGCAAUGACACAAGCACAAGAAGAAACAACUGCUGACUCUCAAAGCCUUGGUGCAGAAGAAGGGAAAAAUUCAGGAGACAUUCCUAGUGAAGAAGGAAGAGGAUUUGCUGAUUGACUUCAUAUCAAGAAUCUGGGGAAAUGAUUCCAAAUCAACACAAAAUUCCAAGUGUUGGUGGUUGAGGAGUCUCACUCUGUUGUCCAGG